UGGGAUAAGUUUAUUUUUUUAAUAAAGACACCCAAAGGGAAUAUUAGAUCUGAUUAAUAUCGAGAAAAACAAAGGCUAGUACAAUGGAUAGACAAUUAGACGUAGAGCGACCAUUACAAAAUAAAAUGAUAUUAAAAAACAUACUAGUCUUCUUCCUUUGAUUGUACGUCGCUGCCGAAUCUUGAAAAACACACUGAACCAACAACAAUGAAAAAGCCACCUGCAAAUACCCUCGCCUUACAAGGCUUUGAAGACCGCAAUCACCACUUGCCCCUAGAGACGAGAUCUAAAAGACUUUGAAGCAUCAUCGACUGGAGCAACACCCCAAGCAGAACAGGCUUGCAAUCCGCCACCACCAGUUCAGAGGGUUGGAAAAAACAGGUUAACCCACAGAACAACAGAGAAGAAGAUGUCGAAAUCGCCACACCAACUGCCAGCCAAAAGCUCUCCUCAAAAGACACACGAACUGCCAAGAUCUGAACGAAACCAACUGAUCUGGGGACACCAACUCUCACUGUCCCUUCACCGAAGCCAUAUCGAAUGUCGUCAAGGUACGGAGAGACCGGAGAGACCGUAUUCCAAAACGCCAUCGUCGCCACCACCUCACCGUGAUGUUGCUGGAGAAAGCAAAAAACCUACAAAGCAAAUAAGAUGGGCGGGUCCCCACUCCUCUUGCCGCCGACAAGGUCGCCGGACAGGGGAGAGGAGGGGGACCGAGGCGAAGGCCGGAGAAGUGGCGGCUGCGGCUUAGGGUUAGGACGACUCGUGCGCGUCGGGAUAACUCGUUUUAGGAGUGCUACUUGGCUUUGGGUUCGCCCGUUUGGAUUAAGU
Molecule: long non-coding RNA, 831 nt
Filed under: Hordeum vulgare
Lineage: Eukaryota; Viridiplantae; Streptophyta; Magnoliopsida; Poales; Poaceae
Description: long non-coding RNA (HVUL_LNC020443)
Source: RNAcentral